GUGGGGAAUUUUGGACAAUGGGGGCAAGCCUGAUCCAGCAAUGCCGCGUGCAGGAAGAAGGCCUUCGGGUUGUAAACUGCUUUUGUACGGAACGAAACGGUCCGGGUUAAUACCCUGGGCUAAUGACGGUACCGUAAGAAUAAGCACCGGCUAACUACGUGCCAGCAGCCGCGGUAAUACGUAGGGUGCAAGCGUUAAUCGGAAUUACUGGGCGUAAAGCGUGCGCAGGCGGUUUUGUAAGACAGGCGUGAAAUCCCCGGGCUCAACCUGGGAAUUGCGCUUGUGACUGCAAGGCUGGAGUGCGGCAGAGGGGGAUGGAAUUCCGCGUGUAGCAGUGAAAUGCGUAGAUAUGCGGAGGAACACCGAUGGCGAAGGCAAUCCCCUGGGCCUGCACUGACGCUCAUGCACGAAAGCGUGGGGAGCAAACAGGAUUAGAAACCCGUGUAGUCC
Molecule: ribosomal RNA, 450 nt
Filed under: uncultured bacterium
Lineage: Bacteria
Description: partial 16S ribosomal RNA
Rfam family: Bacterial small subunit ribosomal RNA
Source: RNAcentral